RNAcentral lists this small nucleolar RNA (65 nucleotides) under Euglena gracilis. RNAcentral's name for it is "Eg-m165 box C/D methylation-guide". The record is from RNAcentral. Lineage: Eukaryota; Euglenozoa; Euglenophyceae; Euglenales; Euglenaceae.
CACAUGAUGCCGCUUCUUUCCCCUGACUGUCCUGACGGCUUCAGAAACCAUCUAUCCCACUGAUC